Molecule: ribosomal RNA, 803 nt
Filed under: Streptomyces sp.
Lineage: Bacteria; Bacillati; Actinomycetota; Actinomycetes; Kitasatosporales; Streptomycetaceae
Description: bacterial SSU rRNA
Rfam family: Bacterial small subunit ribosomal RNA
Source: RNAcentral
GAUGAACCACUUCGGUGGGGAUUAGUGGCGAACGGGUGAGUAACACGUGGGCAAUCUGCCCUUCACUCUGGGACAAGCCCUGGAAACGGGGUCUAAUACCGGAUACCACUCUCACAGGCAUCUGUGGGGGUUGAAAGCUCCGGCGGUGAAGGAUGAGCCCGCGGCCUAUCAGCUUGUUGGUGAGGUAACGGCUCACCAAGGCGACGACGGGUAGCCGGCCUGAGAGGGCGACCGGCCACACUGGGACUGAGACACGGCCCAGACUCCUACGGGAGGCAGCAGUGGGGAAUAUUGCACAAUGGGCGAAAGCCUGAUGCAGCGACGCCGCGUGAGGGAUGACGGCCUUCGGGUUGUAAACCUCUUUCAGCAGGGAAGAAGCGAAAGUGACGGUACCUGCAGAAGAAGCGCCGGCUAACUACGUGCCAGCAGCCGCGGUAAUACGUAGGGCGCAAGCGUUGUCCGGAAUUAUUGGGCGUAAAGAGCUCGUAGGCGGCUUGUCACGUCGGGUGUGAAAGCCCGGGGCUUAACCCCGGGUCUGCAUUCGAUACGGGCUAGCUAGAGUGUGGUAGGGGAGAUCGGAAUUCCUGGUGUAGCGGUGAAAUGCGCAGAUAUCAGGAGGAACACCGGUGGCGAAGGCGGAUCUCUGGGCCAUUACUGACGCUGAGGAGCGAAAGCGUGGGGAGCGAACAGGAUUAGAUACCCUGGUAGUCCACGCCGUAAACGGUGGGAACUAGGUGUUGGCGACAUUCCACGUCGUCGGUGCCGCAGCUAACGCAUUAAGUUCCCCGCCUGGGGAGUACGGC